This 301-nucleotide ribosomal RNA is filed under the name uncultured bacterium. Its description in RNAcentral is "partial 16S ribosomal RNA". It matches the Rfam family "Bacterial small subunit ribosomal RNA", at positions 509 to 809 of the family's 1533-position model. The record is from RNAcentral.
CAGCCGCCGCGGGAAUACGUAGGUGGCGAGCGUUGUCCGGAAUGAUUGGGCGUAAAGGGAGCGCAGGUGGGACGGUAAGUCCUUCUUAAAAGCGUGGGGCUCAGCCCCAUGAAGGGAAGGAAACUAUCGAUCUUGAGUGCCGGAGAGGAAAGCGGAAUUCCCAGUGUAGCGGUGAAAUGCGUAGAUAUUGGGAAGAACACCAGUGGCGAAGGCGGCUUUCUGGACGGCAACUGACACUGAGGCUCGAAAGCCAGGGGAGCGAACGGGAUUAGAUACCCCAGUAGUCCCUGUCUCUUAUACA